CGUCCAGACUCCUACGGGAGGCAGCAGUGGGGGAUAUUGCACAAUGGGGGGAACCCUGAUGCAGCGACGCCGCGUGGGUGAAGAAGCGCCUCGGCGCGUAAAGCCCUGUCAGCAGGGAAGAAAAUGACGGUACCUGAAGAAGAAGCCCCGACUAACUACGUGCCAGCAGCCGCGGUAAUACGUAGGGGGCAAGCGUUAUCCGGAUUCACUGGGUGUAAAGGGAGCGUAGACGGCGACGCAAGUCUGGAGUGAAAGCCCGGGGCCCAACCCCGGGACUGCUCUGGAAACUGCGGCGCUGGAGUACGGGAGGGGCAGGCGGAAUUCCUGGUGUAGCGGUGAAAUGCGUAGAUAUUAGGAGGAACACCAGUGGCGAAGGCGUCUUACUGGAUCGAAACUGACGUUGAGGCUCGAAAGCGUGGGGAGCAAACAGGAUUAGAUACCCUCGUACAC
Molecule: ribosomal RNA, 450 nt
Filed under: uncultured bacterium
Lineage: Bacteria
Description: partial 16S ribosomal RNA
Rfam family: Bacterial small subunit ribosomal RNA
Source: RNAcentral